RNAcentral lists this RNase P RNA (331 nucleotides) under bovine gut metagenome. RNAcentral describes it as "Bacterial RNase P class A". It matches the Rfam family "Bacterial RNase P class A". From Rfam's summary of the family: Ribonuclease P (RNase P) is a ubiquitous endoribonuclease, found in archaea, bacteria and eukarya as well as chloroplasts and mitochondria. Its best characterised activity is the generation of mature 5'-ends of tRNAs by cleaving the 5'-leader elements of precursor-tRNAs. The record is from RNAcentral.
GACCAGACGAUCGCGUGCAUACGCAUGAGGAAAGUCCGGGCUCCGCAGGGCAGGGAUGACGGAUAACGUCCGCCGCAGGCAACUGUAGGGAAAGUGCAACAGAAACAUACCGCCGAAACGGGUAAUGCCGUGGCAAGGUUGAAAUGGUGAGGCAAGAGCUCACCGGCGUCAUGGAGACAUGACGGCCGUGUAAACCCCAUCCGGAGCAAGACUAAGUAGGGCAUUUUGCGGUGCGGCCCGUACCCGCCCGAAGGUAAGUCGCUAGAGGCUGCAGGCAACUGCAGUCCCAGAUGGAUGAUCGUCUAAUACAGAACCCGGCUUACGGUCUGCC